UAAGUGCUCUUUUGAGUCCAAUGAUCGUGGGCUGAUUUCUUGUAGGUUGUGCUCAUCAGAGAUGGUGGUAGCACAAAAAUGUUGCCCAGAAGACUUCAGAUAAUUCUCUUGAAAAUGCAGGUCAUCUUUCCAAACUGCUGGUUGCAAAAUGUUUCAAAAUGAUGUGAUUCAUGUCAUCAUACGUGGCGCCCUCAGAUGGUUGCUCAAACAAGCUUGACAAGUCUAACCUAGGGACCGACAUCUCCUCCUUCGCAGCUGUGUUGGGUUGACUCUCCUGCAUCCUUGCCCCCACCAGCAAUCAACACUUAGAUCCCGUCAACGGUGACUCCCGUCUUUCCUUCAGCUGUACUGUCCCUGGACGAGCCAGAGACGGAAACCCGUGAAAGUGCUUCGAGAUUUGCGCCCACAAAAUCCAACUACAAUUCUACCACUUGUGAUGAGGAAUUGAAGUGCAUGUGUAAUGGAACAAGUCGAGAUAUUCAUGUGUAUAUGUACUGUACAUUACAUGAUAGCAACGGUGUUUGGACUUUUGGGUACAUCCGCAGGCUUCACAGCUAUUUCUUGAUAUGCCCUGUAAUUCUAUGAGUAGCAGUUGGAUGUGCUGUGGGAUAGUGAAUAUGGUUUCUCGUUCGGCAUUGUCCUGUUGUUUGAUGAUACAAUUAGGGAUCAAGGGAUAAAUGGAACUAUUUUAUGAUGACCAUGAAUCA
This 707-nucleotide small RNA is filed under the name Histoplasma ohiense. RNAcentral's name for it is "hypothetical lncRNA". The record is from RNAcentral. Lineage: Eukaryota; Fungi; Ascomycota; Eurotiomycetes; Onygenales; Ajellomycetaceae.